This 460-nucleotide ribosomal RNA is filed under the name uncultured bacterium. Its description in RNAcentral is "partial 16S ribosomal RNA". It matches the Rfam family "Bacterial small subunit ribosomal RNA", at positions 338 to 795 of the family's 1533-position model. The record is from RNAcentral.
CCUACGGGAGGCAGCAGUGAGGAAUAUUGGUCAAUGGGCGGAAGCCUGAACCAGCCAAGUAGCGUGCAGGAUGACGGCCCUACGGGUUGUAAACUGCUUUUAUACGGGAAUAACGCGCCUUACGUGUAGGGCUUUGCAUGUACCGUAUGAAUAAGGACCGGCUAAUUCCGUGCCAGCAGCCGCGGUAAUACGGAAGGUCCGGGCGUUAUCCGGAUUUAUUGGGUUUAAAGGGAGCGUAGGCCGCAUGUCAAGCGUGCUGUGAAAUUUCCGGGCUCAACCCGGGCCUUGCAGCGGGAACGGGCGUGCUUGAGUGCGCGGACAGCAGGCGGAAUUCGUGGUGUAGCGGUGAAAUGCUUAGAUAUGACGAAGAACCCCGAUUGCGAAGGCAGCUUGCUGCAGCGGAACUGACGCUGAUGCUCGAAAGCGCGGGUAUCGAACAGGAUUAGAUACCCUUGUAGUC